UGUUGCAAUACAUGGGCGGCGACCGGCAAACGGGUGCGGAACACGUACACAACCUUCCUUUUAGUGGAGAAUAGCCCAGGGAAACUUGGAUUAAUACUCCGUAAUAUUAUGAAGUGGCAUCACUUUAUAAUUAUAGCUCCGGCGCUAGAAGAUGGGUGUGCGGCUGAUUAGGUAGUUGGCGGGGUAACGGCCCACCAAGCCUACGAUCAGUAACUGGUGUGAGAGCACGACCAGUCACACGGGCACUGAGACACGGGCCCGACUCCUACGGGAGGCAGCAGUAAGGAAUAUUGGGCAAUGGACGCAAGUCUGACCCAGCCAUGCCGCGUGGAGGAUGAAGGUCCUCUGGAUUGUAAACUUCUUUUCUCUGGGGCGAAAAAAGGGCAUUCUUGCUCACUUGACNGUACCAGAGGAAUAAGCACCGGCUAACUCCGUGCCAGCAGCCGCGGUAAUACGGAGGGUGCAAGCGUUAUCCGGAUUCACUGGGUUUAAAGGGUGCGUAGGAGGGCAGGUAAGUCAGUGGUGAAAUCCCCGAGCUUAACUUGGGAACUGCCGUUGAUACUAUCUGUCUUGAAUGUUGUGGAGGUGAGCGGAAUAUGUCAUGUAGCGGUGAAAUGCUUAGAUAUGACAUAGAACACCAAUUGCGAAGGCAGCUCGCUACACAAUUAUUGACUCUGAUGCACGAAAGCGUGGGGAUCAAACAGGAUUAGAUACCCUGGUAGUCCACGCCCUAAACGAUGGAUACUCGACAUCAGCGAUACACUGUUGGUGUCUGAGCGAAAGCAUUAAGUAUCCCACCUGGGAAGUACGACCGCAAGGUUGAAACUC
This 828-nucleotide ribosomal RNA is filed under the name uncultured Flavobacteriaceae bacterium. Its description in RNAcentral is "bacterial SSU rRNA". It matches the Rfam family "Bacterial small subunit ribosomal RNA", at positions 75 to 902 of the family's 1533-position model. Lineage: Bacteria; Pseudomonadati; Bacteroidota; Flavobacteriia; Flavobacteriales; Flavobacteriaceae. The record is from RNAcentral.